GAUGAACGCUAGCUACAGGCUUAACACAUGCAAGUCGCGGGGCAGCAUGGGGGUUGCUUGCAACUCCCGAUGGCGACCGGCGCACGGGUGAGUAACGCGUAUCCAACCUGCCCUUCACCACGGGAUAACCCGGCGAAAGUCGGACUAAUACCGUAUGUUGUCCAUUGACGGCAUCCGAUUUGGACGAAAGGCUUUGCGGUGAAGGAUGGGGAUGCGUCCGAUUAGCCAGACGGCGGGGUAACGGCCCACCGUGGCUACGAUCGGUAGGGGUUCUGAGAGGAAGGUCCCCCACACUGGAACUGAGACACGGUCCAGACUCCUACGGGAGGCAGCAGUGAGGAAUAUUGGUCAAUGGGCGUAAGCCUGAACCAGCCAAGUAGCGUGCAGGAUGACGGCCCUAUGGGUUGUAAACUGCUUUUAUGCGGGGAUAAAGUGGCCCACGUGUGGGCUUUGGCAGGUACCGCAUGAAUAAAGACCGGCUAAUUCCGU
Molecule: ribosomal RNA, 489 nt
Filed under: uncultured bacterium
Lineage: Bacteria
Description: partial 16S ribosomal RNA
Rfam family: Bacterial small subunit ribosomal RNA
Source: RNAcentral